CCUACGGGAGGCAGCAGUGAGGAAUAUUGGUCAAUGGACGAGAGCCUGAACCAGCCACGUCGCGUGAGGGAUGAAUGCCCUAUGGGUUGUAAACUUCUUUUAUAAAGGAAUAAAACGACGUCCGUGUGCCUUUUUGCAUGUACUUUACGUACAAAGAUAGGACAACUCCGUGCCAGCCGCCGCGGUGAUACGGUGGGUCCGAGCGUUUUCCGGAUUUGUUGGGUGUAAAGGGAGCGUAGAGUGGUUGUUAAGUCAGUUGUGAAAGUUUGGGGCUCAACCGUGAAACUGCCAUUGAUACUGGCAGUCUUGAGUGCGGGUGAGGUAGGCGGAAUUCGAGGUGUAGCAGUGAAAUGCUUAGAUAUCUGGAAGAACCCCGAUGGCGAAGGCGACUAACU
This 395-nucleotide ribosomal RNA is filed under the name uncultured bacterium. Its description in RNAcentral is "partial 16S ribosomal RNA". It matches the Rfam family "Bacterial small subunit ribosomal RNA", at positions 338 to 730 of the family's 1533-position model. The record is from RNAcentral.